GGCUCUGGGGUGUUACACGUGUGGUUGCAAACCUCAAGAAGCAGAUUGAAAUCUGCCGGGGCUU
Molecule: transfer RNA, 64 nt
Filed under: Sylvirana guentheri
Lineage: Eukaryota; Metazoa; Chordata; Amphibia; Anura; Ranidae
Description: tRNA-Cys
Source: RNAcentral